RNAcentral lists this ribosomal RNA (301 nucleotides) under uncultured bacterium. Its description in RNAcentral is "partial 16S ribosomal RNA". It matches the Rfam family "Bacterial small subunit ribosomal RNA", at positions 509 to 807 of the family's 1533-position model. The record is from RNAcentral.
CAGCCGCCGCGGUAAUACGUAGGGUGCAAGCGUUAAUCGGAAUUACUGGGCGUAAAGCGUGCGCAGGCGGUUCGUUAAGACAGAUGUGAAAUCCCCGGGCUUAACCUGGGAACUGCAUUUGUGACUGGCGGGCUAGAGUAUGGCAGAGGGGGGUAGAAUUCCACGUGUAGCAGUGAAAUGCGUAGAGAUGUGGAGGAAUACCGAUGGCGAAGGCAGCCCCCUGGGCCAAUACUGACGCUCAUGCACGAAAGCGUGGGGAGCAAACAGGAUUAGAUACCCGGGUAGUCCCUGUCUCUUAUAC